This 497-nucleotide ribosomal RNA is filed under the name uncultured bacterium. RNAcentral describes it as "partial 16S ribosomal RNA". It matches the Rfam family "Bacterial small subunit ribosomal RNA", at positions 28 to 507 of the family's 1533-position model. The record is from RNAcentral.
GAUGAACGCUGGCGGCGUGCCUAAUACAUGCAAGUCGAGCGAACAGACGAGGAGCUUGCUCCUCUGACGUUAGCAGCGGACGGGUGAGUAACACGUGGAUAACCUACCUAUAGGACUGGGAUAACUUCGGGAAACCGGAGCUAAUACCGGAUAAUAUAUUGAACCGCAUGGUUCAAUAGUGAAAGACGGUUUUGCUGUCACUUAUAGAUGGAUCCGCGCCGCAUUAGCUAGUUGGUAAGGUAACGGCUUACCAAGGCAACGAUGCGUAGCCGACCUGAGAGGGUGAUCAGCCACACUGGAACUGAGACACGGUCCAGACUCCUACGGGAGGCAGCAGUAGGGAAUCUUCCGCAAUGGGCGAAAGCCUGACGGAGCAACGCCGCGUGAGUGAUGAAGGUCUUCGGAUCGUAAAACUCUGUUAUUAGGGAAGAACAAAUGUGUAAGUAACUAUGCACGUCUUGACGGUACCUAAUCAGAAAGCCACGGCUAACUACGUG